AAAUGAAUUGACGGGGGCCCGCACAAGCAGCGGAGCAUGUGGUUUAAUUCGACGCAACGCGAAGAACCUUACCAAGGCUUGACAUCCAACUAAAGCUAUGGAAACAUAGUGUCCCUUCGGGGGAGUUGAGACAGGUGGUGCAUGGUUGUCGUCAGCUCGUGUCGUGAGAUGUUGGGUUAAGUCCCGCAACGAGCGCAACCCUUGUUGCCAGUUACCAGCGCGUAAAGGCGGGGACUCUGGUGAGACUGCCGGGGACAACUCGGAGGAAGGUGGGGACGACGUCAAAUCAUCAUGCCCCUUACGUCUUGGGCUACACACGUGCUACAAUGGCUGUAACAAAGGGAAGCAAUGCGGUAACGCAAAGCAAAUCUCAUAAAAGCAGUCCCAGUUCGGAUUGUGGGCUGCAACCCGCCCACAUGAAGUCGGAGUUGCUAGUAAUCGCGGAUCAGAAUGCCGCGGUGAAUACGUUCCCGGGCCUUGUACACACCGCCCGU
RNAcentral lists this ribosomal RNA (494 nucleotides) under uncultured bacterium. RNAcentral's name for it is "bacterial SSU rRNA". It matches the Rfam family "Bacterial small subunit ribosomal RNA", at positions 903 to 1397 of the family's 1533-position model. The record is from RNAcentral.